RNAcentral lists this ribosomal RNA (474 nucleotides) under uncultured bacterium. Its description in RNAcentral is "bacterial SSU rRNA". It matches the Rfam family "Bacterial small subunit ribosomal RNA", at positions 39 to 507 of the family's 1533-position model. The record is from RNAcentral.
AGCGGCAGGCUUAACACAUGCAAGUCGAGGGGCAGCACGGGUAGCAAUACCUGGUGGCGACCGGCGCAAGGGUGCGUAACGCGUGAGCAACAUGCCCUAUACAGGGGGAUAAUCCAGGGAAACUUGGUCUAAUAUCCCAUAGUAUUUAGAGAGGCAUCUUCUAUAAAUUAAAGCUUCGGUGGUAUAGGAUUGGCUCGCGUGACAUUAGCUAGAUGGUGAGGUAACGGCUCACCAUGGCAAUGAUGUCUAGGGGUUCUGAGAGGAAGGCCCCCCACACUGGGACUGAGACACGGCCCAGACUCCUACGGGAGGCAGCAGUGAGGAAUAUUGGACAAUGGAUGGAAAUCUGAUCCAGCCAUGCCGCGUGCAGGAAGACAGCCCUAUGGGUUGUAAACUGCUUUUUAUAUGGGAGCAAUAAGGUCUACGUGUAGACUGAUGAGAGUACCAUAUGAAUAAGCAUCGGCUAACUCCGUG